CAUAAUGACAUGUUAAUAAAUUGCAGUGUUUUAACAGGCAGAAAAUUAAUGUAGUAGGCCAACGUACUGAAAAAAUUACCAUGCUUAAAUUCAAUGUGGAUAUAUGUCAAAAGAGGUGUUAGCAUGCAUAAACUCAAUUUAAUAUGUCGGGUGUUAAUUAGAAAACCUUAACGCAAAAGUUCUAAGCGAAUCAAUUAAUAAAAAUGUCUAAAAGAUUCAUGUGUUAAUAAAUCCUACUUUUUGUGCCUAAAUGAUCCACGUAGCAUAUAACACACAUAAAAACCUAAGUUGUGCCUACCUACACUACCUACACUAUGUAAGUCCCCGCCCCCGAGCAGUCCUCAAAAUUAUUAUUACAAUAAUGAUGUCUUUACAGUAAUAUUACAAACCAAAUAAUACAAAAAAUGAGAAAGAAAAACAACUAGCUAUAAGGAAUAACAUAUUCAAUUUAAAUAUCCCAGCGACUCUUCGAAAUUCGUAAUCGUCUACUUAAACCUACGAGGCAAGAUAUAGUGGUAAAUAAAAGGUUGUUGAAGUAAAGCAAUCUCAGCAAUGAGAUGAACAGAACGCUUCCUUAAAACUCACAAAGAGAUGCCACACAGCUUUGAGAAAUAUGUCUUGGAAUAGCUAAUAAUUUUUGUUUUAGAAAGUAAAAGUAGAAAAAGGGAAAUCUCUCCUCCUCUAAUUGAAAAGAGAGGCCCUUUCUAUGGGAGAAGGGAUACCGGGUGAUAAAAGGAAGAAAUCAAUUCUCUAAAUCAAUUAGAAAAAUUGUUUUCCUUCAAAUCUCUAAAUCAAUUAGGAAAAUUGUUCCUUGAAUAAAUAUGGAAAAUCAAUUAGCUUGCAAAAUCAUGUCAUGAUUACCAUAAGAGAAAAAAAUAAGAAUCUAUACAAAUAUAAUAUUGAGAUUUCUCCUAAAAUAAACAAGUACUUUAAAAGGCAAAUAACAUAUGAGUGGGCAGCACUAAUACCCGCCCAAAACAAAAGAAUAAAAGUAAAACGUCCCUUAAUCAAGGGAUUGCAAUUACGCACAAAAUCAAAGUUACCAAAUAUAAUCGCAUAAAAUCAGAAUUUAAGCUUGUCAAAUAUGGUCUAUCAUGAAGAUUAAUCUACCACAAGACUGUUAUAAUUUCAAAUUCACACAAAUUAAGUGUUUAAAAACCAAGAGAGUAGGGAAAAUCAUAAUUACGGCUAGAUUUGAUACUACCUUAGUGAUAAAUUCAUAACAACUACACACAAGAGAAUCGUAAUUUUAAAAUUUGUCAGAUCAGCAUUCAAACCAAAAAUUAAGCGAAUUUUAAAGUCUAUGAAUGUUAACAAGAGCAGAUCACCAAAAACUAAACCAAAAAUUUCAAUAACUCCAGUCAAUUUCAGACACCAGAAGUUUUCGACACAAAACAAAAGAAGAAUAAAGUAGAAAUACCAACUUGAGACGGAUUCAUAUGUGUGAACCCGUCAUGUUUUUAACAAUUUCUGGCGAGGAAUGGGUCGUGGAGGGAAAGAAAAACCUAAUCGAUGGCGGCAUGUGGACGCACGGAGAGCAUCAGCGGCGGCUGCAUGGUUAGCCGGAGGAGCCUGAGCUAGCCGAUCGUGGUGGCGGCUAUGGGGAUGGUCUCGCCGGACGCGUGGCUGGCGAGGCGGCUGCGGGGGUCGUCGUUGGUCUCCGGCGUUGGGAUAGGAGGCGGCAUACACGGCUGGGGACUGGACGUUGUUGUUUUCUGUUGGUGGCGCCGGUGGAGCAGCUAUCAACGAUGGCAGACCUCGCCGGAGCGGGAGAAAGGGGAGACGGCAGAUGCUCGUUGCUGUCCAGAGGCUGGCGGUGGUUUCGCCGGGGAAGGAGGAUGAGAGGGGAGAGGAGGAAAGAGAAGGGCGGGCGGUGGAGCGGCGGCAACAGCCGUCCCCCGGAGAGUAGCGGCUGCAGCAGCCGUCCCCCGGAGAGGAGCGGCGGCAGCAGCCGUCCCCCGGAGAGGAGAGAGAGGAGAGAAGAGAGAGAGCAGUUAGAGAGAGAGG
RNAcentral lists this long non-coding RNA (2007 nucleotides) under Capsicum annuum. RNAcentral's name for it is "long non-coding RNA (CANN_LNC019396)". Lineage: Eukaryota; Viridiplantae; Streptophyta; Magnoliopsida; Solanales; Solanaceae. The record is from RNAcentral.